This 497-nucleotide ribosomal RNA is filed under the name uncultured bacterium. RNAcentral's name for it is "partial 16S ribosomal RNA". It matches the Rfam family "Bacterial small subunit ribosomal RNA", at positions 28 to 507 of the family's 1533-position model. The record is from RNAcentral.
GACGAACGCUGGCGGCGUGCCUAAUACAUGCAAGUAGAACGCUGAAGAGAGGAGCUUGCUCUUCUUGGAUGAGUUGCGAACGGGUGAGUAACGCGUAGGUAACCUGCCUUGUAGCGGGGGAUAACUAUUAGAAACGAUAGCUAAUACCGCAUAACAAUGGAUGACCCAUGUCAUUUAUUUGAAAGGGGCAAAUGCUCCACUACAAGAUGGACCUGCGUUGUAUUAGCUAGUAGGUGAGGUAACGGCUCACCUAGGCGACGAUACAUAGCCGACCUGAGAGGGUGAUCGGCCACACUGGGACUGAGACACGGCCCAGACUCCUACGGGAGGCAGCAGUAGGGAAUCUUCGGCAAUGGGGGCAACCCUGACCGAGCAACGCCGCGUGAGUGAAGAAGGUUUUCGGAUCGUAAAGCUCUGUUGUAAGUCAAGAACGAGUGUGAGAGUGGAAAGUUCACACUGUGACGGUAGCUUACCAGAAAGGGACGGCUAACUACGUG